GGAGGGGGCAAGCGUUGUUCGGAAUUACUGGGCGUAAAGGGCGCGUAGGCGGGAAGAUCAAGUCAGGGGUGAAAGGCCUGGGCUCAACCCGGGAACUGCCUUUGAAACUGGUUUUCUAGAGUACGGGAGAGGAUGGUGGAAUUCCCAGUGUAGAGGUGAAAUUCGUAGAUAUUGGGAAGAACACCAGUGGCGAAGGCGGCCAUCUGGCCCGGUACUGACGCUAAGGCGCGAAAGCGUGGGGAGCAAACAGGAUUAGAUACCCUGGUAGUCCACGCCGUAAACGAUGUGUGCUAGCCGUUGGGGCCUCAGGUCUCGGUGGCGCAGCUAACGCGUUAAGCACACCGCCUGGGGAGUACGGCCGCAAGGUUA
Molecule: ribosomal RNA, 369 nt
Filed under: uncultured organism
Description: partial 16S ribosomal RNA
Rfam family: Bacterial small subunit ribosomal RNA
Source: RNAcentral